ACAUGCCAUUUGAGCGAACGGACGAGAAGCUUGCUUCUCUGAUGUUAGCGGCGGACGGGUGAGUAACACGUGGAUAACCUACCUAUAAGACUGGGAUAACUUCGGGAAACCGGAGCUAAUACCGGAUAAUAUUUUGAACCGCAUGGUUCAAAAGUGAAAGACGGUCUUGCUGUCACUUAUAGAUGGAUCCGCGCUGCAUUAGCUAGUUGGUAAGGUAACGGCUUACCAAGGCAACGAUGCAUAGCCGACCUGAGAGGGUGAUCGGCCACACUGGAACUGAGACACGGUCCAGACUCCUACGGGAGGCAGCAGUAGGGAAUCUUCCGCAAUGGGCGAAAGCCUGACGGAGCAACGCCGCGUGAGUGAUGAAGGUCUUCGGAUCGUAAAACUCUGUUAUUAGGGAAGAACAUAUGUGUAAGUAACUGUGCACAUCUUGACGGUACCUAAUCAGAAAGCCACGGCUAACUACGUGCCAGCAGCCGCGGUAAUACGUAGGUGGCAAGCGUUAUCCGGAAUUAUUGGGCGUAAAGCGCGCGUAGGCGGUUUUUUAAGUCUGAUGUGAAAGCCCACGGCUCAACCGUGGAGGGUCAUUGGAAACUGGAAAACUUGAGUGCAGAAGAGGAAAGUGGAAUUCCAUGUGUAGCGGUGAAAUGCGCAGAGAUAUGGAGGAACACCAGUGGCGAAGGCGACUUUCUGGUCUGUAACUGACGCUGAUGUGCGAAAGCGUGGGGAUCAAACAGGAUUAGAUACCCUGGUAGUCCACGCCGUAAACGAUGAGUGCUAAGUGUUAGGGGGUUUCCGCCCCUUAGUGCUGCAGCUAACGCAUUAAGCACUCCGCCUGGGGAGUACGACCGCAAGGUUGAAACUCAAAGGAAUUGACGGGGACCCGCACAAGCGGUGGAGCAUGUGGUUUAAUUCGAAGCAACGCGAAGAACCUUACCAAAUCUUGACAUCCUUUGACAACUCUAGAGAUAGAGCUUUCCCCUUCGGGGGACAAAGUGACAGGUGGUGCAUGGUUGUCGUCAGCUCGUGUCGUGAGAUGUUGGGUUAAGUCCCGCAACGAGCGCAACCCUUAAGCUUAGUUGCCAUCAUUAAGUUGGGCACUCUAAGUUGACUGCCGGUGACAAACCGGAGGAAGGUGGGGAUGACGUCAAAUCAUCAUGCCCCUUAUGAUUUGGGCUACACACGUGCUACAAUGGACAAUACAAAGGGCAGCGAAACCGUGAGGUCAAGCAAAUCCCAUAAAGUUGUUCUCAGUUCGGAUUGUAGUCUGCAACUCGACUACAUGAAGCUGGAAUCGCUAGUAAUCGUAGAUCAGCAUGCUACGGUGAAUACGUUCCAGGGUCU
RNAcentral lists this ribosomal RNA (1347 nucleotides) under uncultured bacterium. RNAcentral describes it as "bacterial SSU rRNA". It matches the Rfam family "Bacterial small subunit ribosomal RNA", at positions 53 to 1381 of the family's 1533-position model. The record is from RNAcentral.